AAGAGCUUAUGAGUUCCAAGAAAUCUAAGCGUCUUUUCUCGCUUCUUCGGAGUCAACAAACUUUUAAUCUCGACCCUAUUACCUUGGCUAUUAUCUGUUCUAUCCAAGUCGGUGAGUGUUUCUUACACUGGAUUAAGUGGUUGAGAUACCGCCAUGUCGAGGAUUCACGCUUUUCACUUUCAAACGACGUUUCUUCAGAGCAGUAUCGAGAGGAAAAUAUAACAUCGCGAAAUCAAGAAAAUCAAGGAAGGAUGGAGUAACAUGACAACUUUUAGCAAGGACCAUAAUGCUUCAAGCUCGAAUCAAUCAAGAAAGACUCUUAUCCACGUCUGGGGCAAGAUUCAUUUGGAAGUACAAAACAGAUUUAUAGCACUUUUUCUAACAACAA
Pocillopora damicornis (cauliflower coral) is the source of this 388-nucleotide long non-coding RNA. RefSeq lists it as uncharacterized. The record is from RefSeq and is a predicted model, not a curated record. Lineage: Eukaryota; Metazoa; Cnidaria; Anthozoa; Scleractinia; Pocilloporidae.